UCCCUGGAGGACUAGUGGUUAGGCCACAGCGCUCUCGGUGCUGUGGCCCGGGUUAGAUUCCCAGGCAGGGAU
Non-coding RNA from Pangasius djambal, 72 nucleotides. The record is from the annotation of a GenBank genome assembly. Lineage: Eukaryota; Metazoa; Chordata; Actinopteri; Siluriformes; Pangasiidae.